RNAcentral lists this long non-coding RNA (1253 nucleotides) under Fukomys damarensis (Damara mole-rat). Its description in RNAcentral is "lncRNA (ENSFDAG00000032670.1)". The record is from RNAcentral. Lineage: Eukaryota; Metazoa; Chordata; Mammalia; Rodentia; Bathyergidae.
GGAGGAUCUGCUGGGCUGUCUCCUAACAAAGGAAAAACAGCAUGGAGGAACAGGGAGCUUCUUUUAUAGGAGUGGGGUGGAGUUAACCUGAGCUGGGGUGGAGUUGAGUGAGGUAGCAUUAAGAGAUUGGGGAGCCUGUGACAUCACUAGGAGGGUCUUGUGACAUCACUGGUUACCUGGAGGUAGCAAGUAUCAGGUUACUCUUUUGGCAUGAAGAGAGGCAUGAUAGGAAGAAGGCUGUCCCUUGGUAGGAGAAGCCAUAUUUAACAUCUAGACUUAUUCCAUGUGGCAGCCAUUUUAAAGCACAGAGAAUUAUGGGAAUGAAGCUACUGUUUUACGUAGCAGCCAUCUUGAGGCAAGGGAAUCUAACACCACCUUCCUUUGAGAAGUCAGGCAGCACUAGGUAGGGUAGGCAUCUACACUGAGCGUGAGAGUGGAUAUCUUUUUAUGCCCAAAAGCAACUCCUGAGUUCUGAGGAACUAGGGUAAUUAUGAGACUAUGGACAGUUUUGUUAGAGGUUACAUUGGAGUUGCAAAAUGUCUUCCUGGUUCCUUUCAGAAAGUCUUUAAUCAUGCCAUCAGUGGGGCGACCAAGUAUUCCAUGUGAUGGCUCUGGAGAGAGACAGCUCUGCAUCCACAUGAAAGUGCACAGCGUAGAGCUGGAAGACGUUGCUGUGCUCUGGGGGGCUGCUUCAGGUCUGACACCUAACAGGCCCUGGAGGUCCUCUUGACUAGUAAGGAGGUCACCGGCCAUGGCACAGGCUGGCAACAAUAUCUUACUGGCACUGUGGGGCCGAGCCUUCAUGAUGUGGCUUUACCAGCUAAGUCCAGAUUUUACAUGAGAGAAAAAUAAAGUUGUCUAGCUUAUGGCACAGAUAUUUUGGCUUAGAGUCAUGUCUAAUCUUAACAAUAUGAGAAUAUUGCUUAAGGUCAUGCAGCUGGUAAGUGGCAGGAAGGCCCUAGUCCAAACCCCAGUUUGUCUGAUUUGAAAAGGCCCAGUUCUAUUGCCGUAGUGUUAUACUGACCUGGGAGUAAAGAAAGACUCUUCACAAUAUUAGGUAUUUCAAGCAGGUCCACUUGAUCUUGGAAUACAGUCGCUAUUUUGUUUCCAGUUACUCUGUCCUCCUAAUUACAUUUGACUCUGGCUGAUAUUAAAUUGGGAUCUAUACUCCAAGCACGUGCAUGUGGGUUUUGGCAGGAGGAAGGGUCCCCAGAAGGCCUGUCUGACCUUCAAUUCUUGUUAGAUGCCUGGAC